UUUGCCUACGGGGGGCAGCAGUGGGGAAUAUUGCACAAUGGGGGAAACCCUGAUGCAGCGACGCCGCGUGAGUGAAGAAGUAUUUCGGUAUGUAAAGCUCUGUCAGCAGGGAAGAAGAAAGACGGUACCUGACCAAGAAGCCCCGGCUAACUACGUGCCAGCAGCCGCGGUAAUACGUAGGGGGCAAGCGUUAUCCGGAAUCACUGGGUGUAAAGGGAGCGUAGACGGCUGUGCAAGCCUGGAGUGAAAGGCGGGGGCCCAACCCCCGGACUGCUCUGGGAACUGCAAAGCUGGAGUGCAGGAGG
RNAcentral lists this ribosomal RNA (305 nucleotides) under uncultured bacterium. RNAcentral's name for it is "bacterial SSU rRNA". It matches the Rfam family "Bacterial small subunit ribosomal RNA", at positions 334 to 655 of the family's 1533-position model. The record is from RNAcentral.